This 319-nucleotide long non-coding RNA is filed under the name Brachypodium distachyon (stiff brome). RNAcentral describes it as "long non-coding RNA (BDIS_LNC003457)". The record is from RNAcentral. Lineage: Eukaryota; Viridiplantae; Streptophyta; Magnoliopsida; Poales; Poaceae.
GACAUCUUUUGUUGUACGGAGAGAGUACUUAUUUUUGCCUCAGUCCAGAGAAGAUGACCGUGAGGUGGCUCAUCAGCUGGCUGCUUUAACGAAAUCUACUCCCGGCAUUGUGCCUCUCAUACUGAAGGAUGUAACUCUAAAUCGUCAAUCAAUAAAAGGGUAUUAUGCUGUCAAAAAAAAAAAAAGAUGACCGUGAGCCAAACAAGGCUAGAGGGGUUUUGAUGAUUUGUCUAUUAGUUUCUUGGCAAGUUCAGGAUUUUAUCUGGACCCGGUCAAUUAUCUUUUACCUUUAUAUUGGAGAUUUAGGCAUGCAUAGAAC